This is a long non-coding RNA of Nematostella vectensis (starlet sea anemone), 1559 nucleotides long. RefSeq lists it as uncharacterized. The record is from RefSeq and is a predicted model, not a curated record. The transcript is spliced from 2 exons. Lineage: Eukaryota; Metazoa; Cnidaria; Anthozoa; Actiniaria; Edwardsiidae.
CACUCAUCCCUAAAAGACAGCUUCCACAAUAUUAAAUCGGUUGAGGGGGCAGCUGUAUUGAAUUGGUUUUUACAAAGAUUACGUAUUUUAACAUUAACCUUUUUAUUUAUUUCUUAUUCUAUAUAUUGUAUAUGCUUAUAUAAUAAGUUAUGCUUAUAUAAUAAGUUAUAAUAAGACCAUGUUUCAAAAUAGCAAUAUCUAACGUGAGCAAAAUUAGUAAUGUAGAAAGAUACCCCCCUUUAACGCCAAUGUAAUCACUUUGAAGCACGCUGCUUCCCUUCUGCAAUAAGCGAUUUUCAUAUGGCUAUCGGUUUUUUUAUAUAUACAUAUAUUGUAUAUGCUAAUAUAAUAAGUUAUGCUUUUAUAAUAGGUUAUAAUAAGACCAUGUUUCAAAAUAGCAAUAUCUAACGUGAGCAAAAUUAGUAAUGUAGAAAGAUACCCCCCUUUAACGCCAAUGUAAUCACUUUGAAGCACGCUGCUUCCCUUCUGCAAUAAGCAAUUUUCAUAUGGCUAUCGGUUUCAGAAACACGACACCCCAAGUCACAAGAAUGUACUGGCAAUGGAGUUCACUCAAGAAAAUGAGAUAAAAAAAACUAGCAGAGCUCAAUCGAAAAGAAAUACUGACAUGUGCUGAGAAACAAUCUUCGAUGCUAGAUGAAGAACAAGGACGGGAAAAACUCAAAACAAGAAACGAACAUGAAUUAUAUUCAAACAGAUUAAAAGUCGAGUCUGACCGCACGUGUAUGGACUCGCGUCCCGCCUAGCCCUCCCGAUUACCUUUUCGUGGCAUGUGCUACUUUCAGGGCAAACAGAGAAGUCCAGUACCAAGCGGUAUUCCCCAAAACAAUUGUGGUGGAAAUGGGAUACAUCCUGGUCCCGGCCAAGUUGGACAAUGAGAUCGUAACACAAAAAUCCAUUGCCCGAGGAAUCUCCGCAAACUCGUACCUAGCAUCCGAGGCAGUGCCCUAGAUUGCUGGGCGAGCGCGGAAUUUUAUGAGCAAGUGGACAUAAAGCAUCUUAUGGACUAUUUAUCACUCAAAGGCUAGCUCUUCAAUUUCCAUACAGCCCACCUCCCCCAACAGGCAAGGUCACCUCUGGUGGUGUACUGUACCUCGUGAAACAGUGAGAAAUGUGGCCCCUGAUCGCUCCAACUUUCGGUUUGCCCAUUUGUGUUCUUCUGUGAAACUUAUACCCACAGUGAGUAGGCCAGAAACAGACGAGGCAAAUAAUUUACAAGGUCUACCAAUUCACUGUAUCUUAUCUGAGCGACAAGACACAAGCUGUUGUCAGAAGAAGAGGUUUUUCUUAAUAUGAUUCCUUAUCUAAUUAUUUUUCUAUGUUAUCAUUAUCAUUUUUUUUUCCUUUUUCUUAAUACUGUAUGUGUAUAUUUAAUAAUUGGACAGUGUCAUUUUUACGGUCAAGAUCAGUAUCUGGCUGGAGCGACAUGAUUUAAGAAGUUAAAUGUAAGUGUGUGUAAGGAGUUACACAUUGGAAGCUCAGCAAAUUCAAGCUUUGUAUAAAGAUACAAUAUUUGCAGGCCUACAUACAGGCUGUGAAUC